RNAcentral lists this ribosomal RNA (227 nucleotides) under uncultured bacterium. Its description in RNAcentral is "partial 16S ribosomal RNA". It matches the Rfam family "Bacterial small subunit ribosomal RNA", at positions 129 to 354 of the family's 1533-position model. The record is from RNAcentral.
CCUAUCANAGGGGAAUAACAGUGAGAAAUCACUGCUAAUACCGCAUAUGCCAUAGUCAUCGCAUGAUGAUAGUGGGAAAGAAGCAAUUCGCUGAUAGAUGAGCUUGCGGCUGAUUAGCUAGUUGGUGGGGUAACGGCCUACCAAGGCGACGAUCAGUAGCCGGACUGAGAGGUUGAACGGCCACAUUGGGACUGAGAUACGGCCCAGACUCCUACGGAAGGCAGCAG